UUUUAGUUGUUUGCGUUAGGGAUUGUAGCGGCAUCCUUUGGACACGAGGCUGAGCUUGUCGAGGGAUUGUGUUCAAAGAUAUAGCGGAAAGCCCGGCCCAAA
This 102-nucleotide small RNA is filed under the name Gramella sp. Hel_I_59. Its description in RNAcentral is "Flavo-1 RNA". It matches the Rfam family "Flavo-1 RNA". The record is from RNAcentral. Lineage: Bacteria; Pseudomonadati; Bacteroidota; Flavobacteriia; Flavobacteriales; Flavobacteriaceae.